RNAcentral lists this microRNA precursor (78 nucleotides) under Sus scrofa (pig). RNAcentral's name for it is "microRNA ssc-mir-345 precursor (ssc-mir-345-2)". Its record names the gene ssc-mir-345-2. It matches the Rfam family "mir-345 microRNA precursor family", at positions 8 to 84 of the family's 91-position model. Lineage: Eukaryota; Metazoa; Chordata; Mammalia; Artiodactyla; Suidae. The record is from miRBase by way of RNAcentral.
ACCCAGGUCUGCUGACUCCUAGUCCAGUGCUUGUGAUGGCUGGUGGGCCCUGAACUAGGGGUCUGGAGGCCUGGGUUU